This is a long non-coding RNA of Suricata suricatta (meerkat), 252 nucleotides long. RefSeq lists it as uncharacterized. The record is from RefSeq and is a predicted model, not a curated record. The transcript is spliced from 3 exons. NCBI's taxonomy places the organism in Eukaryota, Metazoa, Chordata, Mammalia, Carnivora, Herpestidae.
CCAGAGGCAAUUUGGAAAUGUGUUCUUUAUCUCAGUGGAGGACAUUAUGCUGAUUACUUUAGCCAGGAAUAUGACUGGAAUUUAUGACCUGGAAUAGGAAGAUACAAGUCUACUCUGGGGUCAUGACAGCUGUACUUGAGAUUCAUGUGCUCAGGUGAACAGACUAGGAGUAGUACAAGCCCUCAAGUGUUAAAGGCAUGAGCCGGAUUUAAGAGAACAAAUGGAAUUUAUAUCCUCUGAGGGAACCAGAAC